AGGGAGUUUAAGCUCUAGCUUCAGCCUGAUGUUUUUAACCAACUAGGCCCGCCAACCCACAAGCAGAUAGAAAAUAAGCUGAUUCUAUAGGACAGAAAAAGGAAGAGGGCAGGGGUCAUAAGGGGAUGUAAGCAUAAGAUACCCAAGCCAGAAACAGCAACCCUUCCAGGUCCCCUUCCCCCACGUGGAAGCUUUCCUUUCACUUUCGCUUUAAUAAAUCUUGCCGCAGCACACUCUCUAAUCGAGCUGUAACACUCGCCACUGCCGUCCACGGCUUCAUUCCUUGAAGCCGUGAGACCACGAACCCUUCGAUUGAGAAGAACCUUCGGUCGGAAGAAGACUUCUCGUCUCAGUAACAAUAACAAGAAAAACAGCCUAGACUAGACGCACAUCAGGAAGACAGGUAGUAACAAAAUAUUUUGUUGUUUGUACUUUUAGUGUUGUCUCUAAGACAGCUUUGCCUAACCCAGGCAACAAAAAUUUAAUCCUAUACUUUCAUCUAAGAGUAUUACAAUUUUAACUCUUUAAUUGAGGUCUGUGGAUCAUUUGGAGUUAAUUUUUGUGUGUGGUGUAAGGAAGGGAUCCAAAACAUACUUGUCAGCAGCAGUUGUGGAAAAGACUAUUUUUCCUAUUUUUUUCCUCAUUCAACUGUCUGGAAUUUUUGUUGAAUAUCAAUUGACUAUAAAUGUAA
RNAcentral lists this long non-coding RNA (691 nucleotides) under Homo sapiens (human). Its description in RNAcentral is "long intergenic non-protein coding RNA 944". Lineage: Eukaryota; Metazoa; Chordata; Mammalia; Primates; Hominidae. The record is from RNAcentral.